RNAcentral lists this long non-coding RNA (2426 nucleotides) under Homo sapiens (human). RNAcentral's name for it is "non-protein coding lnc-KLHL24-2:1". The record is from RNAcentral. Lineage: Eukaryota; Metazoa; Chordata; Mammalia; Primates; Hominidae.
AUGCCUUUGGAGAUGGGGCCCAAAAUGAGCAAAUUUGCCUUUAGGUAUCAGAGAAGUUCCAUAUCAGAUAAUGAUUCUGGCUGUGCACUGGAGGAGUACUCCGAGGUCCCCUGGGCCUUAGACCAGAGCAAAUCUAGCUCUCUUUUGCUUGCUUAUCAGAGGAAAAUGUCCUUAUAUUAACAUCCCUGGAAAGAAACAUCUGAUUAAAGGGCUUGUAUACCAGUUGCUACAACAUGAUAAUGACAUAUAGUAUUGUCAGUCUUUGAAAGAAGAUGAGAAUAAAGAAUUCCAAGUGUUCAGUGCUUAGCAGCAGAAAGAAGCACUUGGAAGAGGCAUGAUUAAACUUUUGUCUAGAGCAGGAAUGCACGCUAUGUGUGAGCAAUGUGGGUUGAAGAUCAACUGAGGUAAAAUUGCAGUGUUUGCCUCUCGAGUGGGCCCUGGAGUGUACUGGUACUCAUUCUGUUUUGUCUGUUUCACGUGUAAAGAGCUGCUGGUCAACCUCGUCUAUUUUUAUCAGGAUGAAAAAAUUCACUGUGGCAGGCACCAUGCUGAAUUGCUCAAACCCUGAUGCUCAGCAUGUGCUGAGAUAAUUUUGUUGAUGUUUGCACAGAAACUGAGAGUCACCAUUGGCACAUGAAACACUUCUGCUGCCUUGAGCGCAAAAUGGUCCCCAGAGGACAAGGUAUGUUAUGAAGGAUAGCCACCCAUUCUGCUGUGGUGGUUUUGAGCCUGUCUAUGCAGAGUGCUGUGAAAUCUGUGGGAACAUAUUAGUGUCGACCAUGUGCAGAUGACCUAUGAUGGGAAGUUCUGGCGUGCUGCAGAAGCAUGCUUUUCUCGUGUCUAGCAUAAAUCCUUUUUGUUGGAUGUCUCUUCUUUACCAAAGUCAGAUUUAUUACUCAAAAAUAUGCCACCUCGGGCCAGGCAAUACAUCCAUGCUUCUAAUUCUUCCAAUUAUCCAUUUCAGUGAGCUUGAUCAAGAAACACCAGAAAAAGUAUCUGAAUGAGCAAAAGCAGUUGGUCAGCAGAUCAGUGUAGACAGUCUCUCCUCUUGUUCCCUGCUCUGAACUACAAGUUUUCUGGCCUUUUGGGCGAUGCUGAUGACACUCUUUCUCAGAAAUUGUAUAUUCUGAGUCUCUCCAGGCAAGGAACAUUUUUAUCAAUGCGGAAUUUUGGAAAGACAGAGUACAGCAUUAAACCCCAGAAGACCCUGAAGGACUGGGUGGGCAUGAAGAUUAUAUGACAUAGCUCCUCCUCAAAUUUGGUGAUAAAAGCCUCUUCAGCAGCAGCCCAAUGAGAUGGAUAUUUGAGCCAAUCAGCACUGGAUAUCUGAUAGCAUAAAAUAAGAACUAGCUAAAGCAAAACAACCAGAACCUUGCAAAUAAAAAUUACUGACCUGAUAUGGACUGGGCACAAGAUGAACAGUGUUUCUGCUCAUGGCAACCACACAGGCCCUGUAAGCAGUAGAAGGCUCUAGAAAUUGAAUCUGGACCAUGGGGCUUCAGGGUAGGCUAAUGAUCAAACACAGGGGUAUGAAAAUCCCCUGGGGUUUUUGUCAGACUUGAAACCAGAGAAACGUGCUCAGGAUUCUAUGGAUUCUUUGGCUUUGUCCAACAUCACAGUAGCUUCAGCGGAUGGAUGAAGCAAGCUGAGGUCAUCCUUAUAUUCUCUGCAAACUCUGAAAAAAACGGAGGCAGAAGAUUAUGAGAAAAUCAGCAGUAUGGAAACUUUGAACUCUGCUGCAUGGAAGUGCAGAGGCCUUAAAGAGUCUAAGUUCAGAUUUUUGUCUAGAAAAAAAACAUCAUGCCUCAUGAAAAACUAGUACAUCUGCCAGUACUCAGACAAUCCAAGUCUCAAUCUAGACCACAGAAGGUCAGAGGAUGUCACUGACAAUGGAAACUGCAACAUCAAGAUCAGGCAGCGUCCAAUGAGUGACAAGACCUGGGUGUACCAUUUUGAAGAGAAGGGAUCCAGAUCUCAUCACCAUUUCCACAGAAGUAGAAAGCCCCACUCUGACAAUAUCCUGAAUAUUGUUAUAGAAAGAGAAUAUUCUCCCAAGGACAGGCUGCAGCUUUACAUCCCCAAUAACUACAGUAAUUUAUGUGGAAUAAAAGGGCUCAGGACAUCCAAGCGUACAUCCAGAAUGCCGAUCUCUAUAGAGAGCAUGCCCGUUCACUUCCCUCCAUUCCUAUGUCCCCGGGAGUGAAGAAGUUUCUGGGAUUCCUGGUGUUUCUCCUUCUCGUCCUCCUCUUCCGACUCAGAACAAAAGGAUUAUUUUCUUGAACAAUCAAUCCCUCAGCCCCACGCCACAGAGAUACGCCUACUAUACAGAUGACCUUUCUAGUCCAACUCCCUGCCCGUCAGUUUGGUUAGAGGACCACUAAAUUCAAGAAGAAAAGUGGACACACAUGCAAAAACUAUUAUUUCUU